GUGACCCUUUUUGGUCUUCUCAGGAAACAGCUACACAACCAGAGGAGACGGAGGAAUGAAACAGACAGUAAACUCUCCACGAACAGCAAUGCCUUCCAUGGAAAGGGCAACGGAUUUCUGAGUUACCGCACAAAAGAUGCCGGCACAGAUGCUGAUGGCCCUUCUGGGGAGAAACCUGCGGCCAUGGAGCGCGACUCCUUUGUUUCUCUGCUAGUGACCAAGCGCCAGCUUGCCAGGACGACUCCCAGCCCAGAUUCUUAUGUAGAUCUGUGAUGCCCCCCAAAAUUGGAUUCUUUAAAAUAGGUAAAAUCCCUUUCUUUAAUUCCAGUUUAAACUGAUUUUGAUGGAAAGGAUAGAGGAAUCAUACAUAGAAAAAUUUUAAAAUGGGGACUGAAGUAAAUAUAGUUUAGUAGUAUACUAGUUACAGAAUGAACAGCAUAUUGUAUGUGCUGUGUUAGAGGUAUGUUAUGAAUAACAAAAGCACUGGAGCAUUUACAUAUUUGUUUUCAGAAAUCCUGGCAGUUGGAUUUCACCAUUCUG
Molecule: long non-coding RNA, 540 nt
Filed under: Dromaius novaehollandiae (emu)
Lineage: Eukaryota; Metazoa; Chordata; Aves; Casuariiformes; Dromaiidae
Description: lncRNA (ENSDNVG00000006402.1)
Source: RNAcentral